UCUGGCGCCAGCAUGGCGUCUCCCGCUGCCGCCGGCCCCGGCCGCUCCUGCCGCGCGGUAACCGGCGCCGCCGCGGCGCUUCCGCGCUCCCCCGUGUCCGUGGGGCGGGAGGGCGGAGGCGACGCCUUUCGCUUUCGCAGCCGGGUGUGGCCGCGGUGUUCGGUGUUACCGGCCGGCGAGGGAGGAGCCGGUGUUACCGGCCAGGCCCCGUCUCAGGAGUGUGCCCCUGCAGCAGUACCCGGGCUGGGGCGCUUGUUAAAAGCAGGGGGGGCUUUGCUGGGAAAACGUCUGUUCUGUAAAACAAGCUCGUGUACCUUUCAGUUUUGUUACUCACAGAACUGGUGGAGACGUGCCUGGGCUCACGCGUUCAGGCUGUGAUGAAGAGGGAUAACUUGUUAGAACGCUUCUAGGAUUUGAUGACUCUGUCAGUCUCCUUCGGUGGAAAUGUUUAAGACUGCUUCAUGCUUUGGCUGAGUUCCCGUAUUGCUUUUGAGAGGUUUGAGUGCACUGGCUGAAGCCUUUUUGCAGGGAUCAGUUGAAUUAUUCUGGUCUUUUGAUUUUACAGAUAAAAUCACAGUUCAGUAUAAAAUUAAGAGAAAUGUUCUGAAUUUAAAAUUCUGGGCCUCCUUUUCCUUGAAACUGGAUUUUCAGAUAUGGCGUUAGAAGACAUUGCAGCGUUCUAAUGAUUAUUUCUGCAUCUUGUUGCUGUUUAAUGUUUGGUGUCCUGAGGAAAAAUACUGUGUAAGAUUUAGCAGCUCAGUGGUUUUAUAUUUCAGGAAUAUUUGCCAGCUGAAUAGUUUGCACCUUGGAUUUAAACUCUAGAGGGUGAUCUGUUCAGGACAGGCAUGUCCUAGAGUAGCUAGUGCAUGAUUUAUACUUGUAAUCAGGUUCCUAAUUUGCAGUCUUAAUUUUGCCUGGGUUGUGGAACUUUCUAGGAGUUUGUUUAUUUUUACAUUUCCUUGAGGCCUAGGCAAAGAUUUAAAAAGUUAGCAGACCAGGGGAAGUAUUACUUUGUCAUGCUGUGUUGCUGCUCAAAACCUGUUUGGAGCAGGUAUUCGGUAAUUGCCAGAUUUAGAGGGUGAAUCUGUAUCUUUAUGUACUGAGCAGAAAAGCACAAUGGAUGUUUUUAGUUGCUGGGCAGCUUUUUUUGCCCAGGGAGUCAAUUUAUCAAGAUUAUGCUGCAGUGUAGCUAAUUUAUUUGUUAGUUUCAACAACUGUCAUCUUAAUGCAGAUAUUUAUGUCAGUUCUGUAAUCAAAACUGGAAUCACUGUCCUUGCUUUUGUGUUCUUAAUUGUUUCCAGUGCUGCUUCAGUGAGAUUACACCCGAGGGCAGAAGAAUCACAAAGCUGAACCAGAUUUUGCUAAAUGGAAAUAACAUAACGGUGCUGGUUCCAGGAGGAGAAGGACCUGAAGUAUAAAUUGAUGCAGUUGUCAUCUAUGAAGAUGUCUCAUAUAUAUGUGUAAUCUAAACAGAGUUCUUGGGGUGUGGGUUUUUUGUUUAUUUGGUUUGUUUACACACUCUUGCGGUUGACAUUUGGUUAAAGACAAGGAUUUCCUCUUCAGGAAAUGUGCAUUGCUAAUAACACUGAUUUUGUCAGUUGAAAUCGUUGUGACUUUCUUGUAGAGACGUGUUUGCCAGUUCUGAAUAAAAGGCUCUCUUUUUGUUAGCUACUGUGUUCUGUUAUGCAAAUGCACAAGUUAGUUUUGUAACUGGUUGAUGGAAAAAUUAUGUUUCAGUUGCUGUCAGUCUUCAGUUUUUCUGCAUCUGUUGCAUUUUUUUAUGGCCCAAGCCUGUAUAAAAUACAGGUCGUGAGCCCAGAGAUUGCUGUUCUUUGGAGUACAUGCCGGUACUAACGUGGAUCCGUUGUUUAAACACUGCUUCAGGCUGUGGCACCAGAAACCAUGGGACAGAGUGCUGGAUCAUUCUUAAAGUUUUUUCUUUGAUACUCAGUAGCCUUUGGUUCUGCUGCCCUUGAGGUUCAGCUCCCUUCGAUUUCUUUUGCCCGAUAGAUAGAGUUUCUCACAGUAAAAGCACUGUAACGGUAUUUGGCAGACGAGGACAGGCAGACCAGACCUACUCAUGUUCAGGGAGUAAAACCCCAAAAACCCAAACUAAAGGAAAGGCUAGUGUUAAACUCCUCCUUGGUGUCAGCAGUGACUCUGCUGGCUUUCACCACCAAGUGGUGCUGUGUGCUCUGAAAUCUGCCCCUGCCUGCCCCUGCCUGCCCCUGCCUGCCGGGUGCAGAAUCGUCGUUUUAGAGUCGGCGCUCUUCUGGCUGCAUCAGUUCUCCUGUGAUAUAAAAACUUGAGAGAUAUUGGAAGCGACUGUUUGGGGCAACUUCUGUAAAGUAAGGAAUUGCUGGUUUUAAUUUGUCACGAUGGGCAAAAAAUAACUUGAUUCUAAAUCACCUCCACUGCAGCUUAUUCUUCUACAAUAACACUGCUCAACUGAUUUGUGUGUGUAAAUGGCUUUGAGAGGAAUCGCAGGUGCCUGCUGUUCCCACAGGGACAGGCAGGGGACAGCACAGGAUCAUGCUUUGCCUUUCUGACACCAGAAGAAGAAAGAAGUGUUGAAGAAGGGGGGGUCAGGAUUAAGAGACUGCAAGGAGGUUGCUGUACUAGAUCCUUUUGCCUUGCUCUGACAGAAAAACUGCCUUCUGCUAGUUAGGUCUUAGCUCAAAACACUGCGAGAGCUCUUGCUUUAGCCUCUUAAAGGGGAGAGGGACGCCCUCCCUUCUGCCAGGGAGUGUGUGACUUGACUCACUUGUUCUGAAUAGAUGAUCUGCAGUUGUCAUCUUUAGAUUGCGUGGUGACAGUCUAUACCAUUGACUCCCUGAAUGGGUUUUAAUUUCUGUCCCUGUUUCCUUCUCCAGCUUUUUUUUUAAUACAUCAAUUAAGAAAAAUAUUUUUUUAAAACUUACAUUUGAUUAGAACAUCAUUUGUUGGUUUUGGCUGCAAACACUUUAAUUGUUGAAAAUAAGUUGCCUUUUCAUCAGAACACUUAAAAAGAUUUCUGAUUUCUAGCCAGUGUGGUAUGAUUGUGUUGAGGGUUUUCUUGAAUAAGAUUCUGUACAUGUUCCAGUGUGUGCACUUAAUUUCUGUUUCACUCAGUAUUUCGAAAACAGUCUUAAAUUGAAGAGAGGUUUCAUGCUUGGGAGAGAAAAUGAGCAGAUCUUGACUCUAAAGCAGCUUUUCAAAGGGAAAGGUAAGUUAUUUUGUUUCUUUUUGUAUUUUUGUUCUGACAGCACAAACAUCUUGUUCUCUCAGGAUUUUGUUAUCUCUGAGAACAAACCCUUGGUGUUGCUUGACUUCCUCCUUCUCUGGUUAGCUUGUUUGAUGGGUUUUGUUAUUUUUUUCACUCCCUCCAGGGGAAGUGCUGAGACUUAUCUUUAGGAAGGCAUUUUAAUUCAUGACUCGGAGGUCUGCGGUCAUCACUCUAAAAACAGUUUCUUUGCAUCCAAACGCUGUUAAUCCUUUAUAAUAUAAAAGGAAAGAUUUUUAACUUUCAGUUGAGAAUACAAAGUAUUCCAGAUGGGUCUGGUUUGGUUUGUGUUCAGUAUUCCUGUAGCCUGUUGCUUUGGAAGGGCAGGUAAUAAGCUUUUCAGUUGAGUAAAUGAGUGCUGGUGUUUCUUUGUUUUUCUUCCCCUAGAAAUCUAGUACUGAAUCAUCCUUCGCUGUCCUGUAGGAGUUGUGGACACAGUGGUGUUCUCCAGAAGGCUACUUAUGGUGCCACUACAAGUAGGUCAUUUAAAAUAAUAACCUUAGGCUUUAAAAAUAGGAAAAAUUUAACAGUGCUUAAAGUUUAGAGCAGGGUAGUCAUCAGGUUAAAAUUACUUCAUGCUUAUGACAUGCACAGUAAUGGUUCUUCCCAGGUUUUUGGGUUGAGGUUUUUUUGUUUUUUUCUUCUUUAAGGUGGCACUGGUUGCAGUGAUCUUGAGUUUACUACAUUGCUUGCUGCCUUAGUAUGAGCAUGGUUCACUUCUGCCUGCUAUUUCAGUUUACUUGCAGACAUAGUUAAGAGAGCUGUUUGGUGUUGUGGAGUGUGUGUAUGUGUAUAAAUAUAUAUAUGUGAAUAUGUACGAAAAUAGUAAGACUUACAGUGCCCUCCCCACAUCCAUAGUUAUUGCUGACCUGUAUUUCAGCAUUACCAGGAUUUUAAACUGACACAGGCAUGGCUGUUGCAAAUGUUUCCAUGUUAGUCUAACUAUUGUGAUGAAAUAAAU
Long non-coding RNA from Athene cunicularia (burrowing owl), 4223 nucleotides. RefSeq lists it as uncharacterized. The record is from RefSeq and is a predicted model, not a curated record. The transcript is spliced from 2 exons. Lineage: Eukaryota; Metazoa; Chordata; Aves; Strigiformes; Strigidae.